Molecule: long non-coding RNA, 1015 nt
Organism: Chrysoperla carnea
Lineage: Eukaryota; Metazoa; Arthropoda; Insecta; Neuroptera; Chrysopidae
Exons: 3
Source: RefSeq, a predicted model, not a curated record
GAUUCAAAUACAACGAUGCUGAAAUCACAACGAAGAGCGUUCAUACUUUUUUAAGACUAAAAACGCUUUUUCAAAAGGGAAUUAUAUUAAACAACAUGGCUCUAAAAGAAAUGCUUGCAGUACAGAUGCAAUCAGCACGAAUCUCUGGAAAUUUCGUAUAUCUUAACAAGAAGGUUGAAUCAAGACAUAAUCGAACAACUAUUUGCAACUUUUCGAGCCAUGGGAAGAUGUGACGAUCACCUCUCAGCCUUAGCCAUGAAAUGCCAAAAUUAUUUACUCGGGAAACAUGCCAUAUUCGCAGCCAACGCAAAGGACGUCGAUGGCGAUGAAAUUGAGGACGUUGCAUUGAUUAGCAACUUCGCAUCAUCUUUAAGACAUACAGCGCCAAGAAUUAACUAAAAAUUCUGCUAUAUAUAUAUAUAUAUAUGUCUAAUUAAAAAAAUUAAUAAUAUUUUGACGAGGACGUCAAUACUAGCAUCAACGAGUUGAACAUAAGUGACACCGAUGCGGAUGGCAACAAAUUUUCCAAUAUUUGCGUUUUUCCAAACGUGGUGGAGAGUGACAUCGAAAAUUCCAAGUGGACAUUGAACAAUGUUGCUGGCAGAACAAGUUUAAAUAUUUUCAAAUCCAAUGAAGAAGAAAACUUACCUGGAUGAGGCAUUCAAAUUUGUUCGUGGCUAUGUGGCUUACAGAUUUCGAGAGAAAUAUCUUUUUUUGGCAUCAUCGAACGUUACUCGCUCUGAAUGUGAUAAUCUACCUGAUGACAGUUGCAAUCAUUGGAUUUCUCUUAUAUCCAUUGGAAAUUCACGCAACCUUCAAUGGAACUUAUCACGGUCGGAAAAGUAAUGGUAAAAAAGUUAAAAGAAAUGCGUGGUGAUGAUUUUGAUAGGUGGUCAAAAUUUUCCAUCGAUUGAAGUCACAUACUAUUGAGGCAAUGGAAAAGAGCGUGAACAUGUCAGAAGAAGCAAUUUUAUACAUGGCACGAUGUAUGACGUGGUUCAGAGUUCUGCGGUUC